Molecule: ribosomal RNA, 519 nt
Filed under: Flectobacillus ruber
Lineage: Bacteria; Pseudomonadati; Bacteroidota; Cytophagia; Cytophagales; Flectobacillaceae
Description: partial 16S ribosomal RNA
Rfam family: Bacterial small subunit ribosomal RNA
Source: RNAcentral
UGGAGAGUUUGAUCCUGGCUCAGGAUGAACGCUAGYGGCAGGCCUAAUACAUGCAAGUCGGACGGUAKGGAUUCUUUCGGGGAUCCUGAGAGUGGCGCACGGGUGCGUAACGCGUAUGCAACCUACCUUAUACUGGGGGAUAGCCCGGGGAAACCCGGAUUAAUACCSCAUGGUAUYRWWKGAYGGCAUCRUUWKKYRAUUAAAGAUUUAUCGGUAURAGAUGGGCAUGCGUAGGAUUAGCUAGUUGGCGGGGUAACGGCCCACCAAGGCGACGAUCCUUAGGGGUUCUGAGAGGAAGGUCCCCCACACUGGCACUGAGAUACGGGCCAGACUCCUACGGGAGGCAGCAGUAGGGAAUAUUGGGCAAUGGCCGGAAGRCUGACCCAGCCAUGCCGCGUGCAGGAAGAAGGCGUUAUGCGUUGUAAACUGCUUUUAUACGGGAAGAAAAAGCAACUGCGGUUGAAAUUGCCGGUACCGUAUGAAUAAGCACCGGCUAACUCCGUGCCAGCAGCCGCGGUA